Molecule: RNA transcript, 1190 nt
Organism: Diospyros lotus (date-plum)
Lineage: Eukaryota; Viridiplantae; Streptophyta; Magnoliopsida; Ericales; Ebenaceae
Exons: 5
Source: RefSeq, a predicted model, not a curated record
UGGUGUGACACUGCCACGGCAGGGCGGUAUUCUUUUUGGCCCUGGCAACUUCCCAUUGCCGUCUAGAAUUAGAAUUUCCAAGGGACAAAAACACAAACAGUUGGUGCCCCUGAAAUCAGAGCCCCUUCAAGCUAUAUAAAUGUUCGUAUAGGGUGUUGUCCUAUUUGGCUCGUAUGUUUGCGGGAAAAUCACUUCUAUUUACGGGCAGGCUCCAAGACUUGGGCAGGAUCGUCGGCUUGGACAAGCUCCAGCCUCGCCCCAAGCACGCCAAACCCCUUUUGAGAACCCGGGUCCGAGUGGAGUCGGAUCAACCGAGGGCCAAGAUGGAGCGCUCGGAGGAAGGGGGCAGCCGCCCGUCGGGCCAGCGCCGUCUACCGCUGGCGGAGGUGGUUUCCGACUGCGUGAAGCGGUGGUUCCAGGACACGCUCAAGGAGGCCAAAGCCGGCGACGCCGCCAUGCAGGUCUUGAUCGGUCAGAUGUACUGUAGUGGCUAUGGCGUCGCCAGAGAUCCCCAGAAGGGGCGUGCUUGGAUUAACAGGGCUUCAAGGAGUCGAUCCUCAGCAUGGGAAGUCGGUGACAAGCCUCCAGGUUACAACGCAAGUGAUUCAGAUUCAGAUGAUAUGAAGGGGGACGCUAAAUAAUUGUAGAUGCUGUUUUUGGUCAACAUUGAAAAUGCCAAAAUAUGACUCUAAAAGUCCCCAUGGCUCCAGCUGAUCUCCUGGAGUAUACUUAAGUGCCUUGUGAUCUAAGUCCCUCACCCAUUCUUGAAGAGGAAGACAUUGUCUGGGAAUCAGUUCUGAUCAGCUAUUCAUUGAUACCGUUUCUCAAGAUUAUGGUACUUCUUGUUGGAUGCUUAAAGGUCACCUUGGGCUUUGCCAAUCGAAAGAAUGGUCAUCCAUGGUGUCUCAGGCCCAGCUGAAUUUUCUCCUGUUUUUGUUGUCUCCUUCCAGCGUGUUUAUCUCCUUACCCCUUCAAAAGGUCCUUGGUAUGUUUACUAGAAUCAUUUCAUUGUUUAAAUUCUGUUGUGUCUUUGCUGCCAACUGAGAUUUUUGGGUCACUGAUAGAAUCUUCUAUCAGGCAGUAAACUGCUGCGUUUGAACGAACAGCUUCGUCCUUGGUGUAACCUAGAAUCUGUAACAUGGUAACAUUGAUGAUAUGCUUCACCCAAGAAAAAAAAUGCUUCAAUAUCA